CGGAUGUAGCCNAGUGGAUUAAGGCAGU
RNAcentral lists this transfer RNA (28 nucleotides) under Manilkara bidentata. RNAcentral describes it as "partial tRNA-His". Lineage: Eukaryota; Viridiplantae; Streptophyta; Magnoliopsida; Ericales; Sapotaceae. The record is from RNAcentral.